ACAUGGCGCGCGAACGCCAACAUCAGCUGAACACGCAGCCGCGACUGCAUGCAGCUGAAGCAUCAAACCGCGCCAGAUCGAGAGAAGCGGGUGGGGAUCACUUUUGUCCAUAUCCUCCCCGCUUGCUCUGGAAGGAGCUCCAGUUGCUUGGGUGUUUACUGUCGUUCAGAGCUCGAUUUAGUCAUCUCCUCCAUCCAUCAUGAAGGUCCUCGUUGCUUUCCUGGUCGUAUGCCUUGCAGUGGCAGUGCGGUCCCAGAGCUGCAAACAGACUACCGCCAGCGUUUGCACUGGUGACACGUACAGUUGCGCUGAGGGCUCAGUCAGUUGCAGCUCCUACUGCUUAUCCGGAUCUACGUAUGCCAAGGUUAUAGGAAUUGGUGUCAGGACGUGGUACAAGAAGUGCUACACCGCCAGUGACGUUUCCCGCAUCAACUGCGGAACCCAGAACUUCACCUGCAAGACGGAUACCGCGUUCGGUUUGACCUCCUCCUACUGCUGGAGAUGCUGCUUCGGUAAUGACUGCAACACCGGCACUCCUCCCGCCGCCGCUGCCUCUACUCUGCAGAUCAUCAGCCCAAUCACCAUGAUCAUGCUCAUUGCCGCCAUUUUCUACUUGACCAAGUAGACUAUUCCCUUCUAAAGGACAUAGUAAUACUGUUUGGUGUGCCGCAUUGAUGUGUGUCUUUUCACAUCUUGCCUCUUUUUGACGGUUUUCCCCUGCCAUCCCAUGCCUUUUCUCCGUGGCAUUAGCUGUCUGAGUUUGGCAAUAUAGACUGUCUUGUACAUUUGUACAAAGCCACUCGGUCAUGAGCUGUUUUUUUUUCUCUCACUCUUCCUGGUCUUCCCAGGUCUUGUCAAUCCUGUUUGAGUCUCUACGUUAUAUGUUCUGACUAUAAUGAAUGGUACAGUUUUGAGAGAGAAGCUUUCCGGUAUUGAAA
This is a long non-coding RNA of Sycon ciliatum, 938 nucleotides long. RefSeq lists it as uncharacterized. The record is from RefSeq and is a predicted model, not a curated record. NCBI's taxonomy places the organism in Eukaryota, Metazoa, Porifera, Calcarea, Leucosolenida, Sycettidae. The transcript has 2 exons.